CUGCCGCCGGCGACCGGCGCACGGGUGAGUAACGCGUAUGCAACCUGGCCGUGACAGAUGGAUAACCGGGAGAAAUCCCGCCUAAUACAACAUAAUGCCGGGAGGGGACAUCCCCUGCCGGCCAAAGGGGGCGACCCCGGUCACGGAUGGGCAUGCGGCGCAUUAGGUAGUUGGUGGGGCAACGGCCCACCAAGCCGACGAUGCGUAGGGGUUCUGAGAGGAAGGUCCCCCACAUUGGAACUGAGACACGGUCCAAACUCCUACGGGAGGCAGCAG
This 276-nucleotide ribosomal RNA is filed under the name uncultured bacterium. Its description in RNAcentral is "partial 16S ribosomal RNA". It matches the Rfam family "Bacterial small subunit ribosomal RNA", at positions 82 to 354 of the family's 1533-position model. The record is from RNAcentral.